GUACUUGAGCAGGAAUACAAUCUUGGGAUCCUAUGUGUUACUACGAGCACUGGUUGCUGAGAAAUGCACUGGGAAUUGAUAAGGUUGAGUCUUGAUUCUUACUGACUGUAAUUAUCUGUAUACUGUUAAGUCUGUGUUUCUCAAACUUGAGUGUGUCCCAGAACUACCUGGAGGGCUUGGUGAAAUGCAGCUUGCUGGGUGCUAUUUUAGAUCCUUUUCUUUAGUGGUCAGUGCCAAGAAGACAAUAAAACAGGAUGAGGUGAUAGUAUGUUGGUCAGAUACCACUAAAACAGGAUUCAUAUAUAAGGGCUUUAUUUGGGAAAGUGCAUUUGAAAGAAAAUGAGAGGCCAGGAGAGGCAGGGAGGGCCAGCAGACUGCCCUGAGGUCUGCGCCUGAGUGAGGCAGAGAGCGAAGGAGGGUUGGGCAGGGGAGUACCAGUGCCGGCAGGCAGAGUGAGGACUAGGAGUGUCCUGGAGCCUUAAGUCAGCAGACAGAGGGGUCCCCUGUCCUCUGGGAGUGGGCCUCCCUUAGUGUCCCUCCAGGCCCGGUCAUUGGCUGGGAACAGACCAGGGGAAGCGUGGCCUCGGCACCAUUGCAGCCGGUCUUCCUCCUUGUAGUUGCAGAUCCGAGCUGCUUUCUCAUGGCCUCACCAGCGAGUCUGCAGUGACCAGAGAGGGCAUCUUCCUGGGAGGACGUGUGAGCUGAGACCUGAGCAACACCAAGGACUGAACCUGUGUUGAUCUGGGGCCACAUGGGAAGAGCAGGGGGAGCAAGCGCAGAGGCUGGGGAGCAGAAGAGAACUCAGGGUAUUUCAAGGGCAGAGCCAGUGAGGAGAACCGAGGGAAAGGUGAGAGUUAGGCUACUGCAGUUUAGGAAGGACUUGUAGGCCAAAUUGGGAACUGUACAUUUAAUUACAAAUAAAAUAAGAAACCUCUCAAGAUCGUCAAGCACCAGAAUGAUGAAAUCUGAGACAGAGUUGGGGUAUGCGUUGUGGAAAGGGGAGAGAGAGAGAGCAGAGAAACCAGUUAGGACUCUAGUUGAUGUUAGUCUAGGCAACCCAAAACUAUCUUUUGAACAGUUUUGGAAACUUUUUGGAAAAUUAUGCCUUUGAAGUACAUCCUUUUUCUCCUAGCCUUUAGGAUUCUGAAAAUAUGGUAGGUAGUCUACUUACAUUAGGGAAACAGCUGUAGGCACCCUGCUUUCCUGCAUCCGCUCCCAUCAUGUGUUUAUUUCAGGCCGUCUUUCUGUCAAGCCCCACUUCCGAUUCAUCCUCGUCACAUAACCUGUUUCCCUACUCUGUGCCCCUUGGGUUUUUGACACCCUGUGGUGGAUGCAACCUCACUUUUUCUUUCAUAGACCUUUACCAUCACAUUCAAACUAGCUGAGAUGCUGAUCCACCUAUCUCAUUUCUCUUUCUACAUAUGGUCUCAAAUUAUAUGUGGUACCACUCCCAAGGGCAAAACUGAAGCAGAACAUUAGUUAAUAUAUGAAGGCAACUUUUAGAGACAAACAAAUGAAUGGUAUUUGGCUAAAUUUAAUUAAUAAGAAUAAUUUCUUCUAUUGUGAUGGUUCUAAUGCUGACCUCUCCCUGCCCCCGCCCUGUGGCCCAGUGUGUGUGAAAGGUGGAAAUGUGUGUUUUAUUUUGGAAUAGGGGCCGUCUAGACUCCUGCUCCACCCCUGGGCACUCUGUCCCGCUUGGAGCUAACAAGGGCUUUGACACUGAGUUUUUUUCUGUGCGUUUUGAUUGUGUCUUCAGCAGUCACAGUGAGUGCAGAAUAAAUCCUAGCCAUGAUGCAUGAGAUCUGGAGCUGUACCUCUUGAAAAGGAAGAUGUCCCCAUUUAAAGAGCUGCCAGCCAGAAAAGCAUUAUUCCCUUGGAGGGUGUGUGCACGUGCUUGUAAAAUUUCACUCCCAUGAGGACUUCUCACCUUCAUUCAGUUGUGCAUUUUUCUGCUCUUCCUGCACCUGGGGAGCUCUCACCAGCAGGGAGAAGUUGGUGCUUAGGCUUUAAGUAAAGCGCUGAUUGCCCUGUCAUUCAGAGUGCUGAGAAACUAGGAACUUCCAAGAUAGAUUCUUGACAGAAUAAUUAGAAAAGUGUCACUUUCACUAACGAUUUGAGCACUCUCUAAAGGAAUGGGCCCAGGCCAGGUCUCUGCUGUCCAAGCCUGGAGGUUAAAUGUUCAGGAAGACAAAACAUAGUGUGUCACGGGGGAAGAUUGCUUCAGAUGUGUGGGAAGGGAUGGCCCUCCAACUCUGAAACAAGGACACCCGGUUGUCUGGGCUUUUGCAGAUGUGUUUCUCUGGCCUUUUGCCAACAUUGCUGCUGUUUUAAUACCUGCUUGAGAUUAUUUUGCUCUCUGUUGGUUGUCUGCCUUGCAGUGAUGUGUGCAGACAGCUGGCGAGGCAGCUUUCUCCUUGACCUUUCUGUAGGCAUGACACUUUCUAUCUCCUCAUUUAGAGAUGGCCCCUGGCCCUUGCAUAACCUCAGAGUCCCAAAGCCAGGAUCAUUUCCAGACAGUGCCAGACACAUGAUCAGGGCAUUGUUUUCCAGACUUACACUAUCUCAAGUAUAGUGGGACACCAGUGUGUACGCAUGAGACAGAAGAGGAAGAGGGUGGCCUCAUGAUGUAGGCAAAUUAAUUGCUUUGAGAAGAAAGAAAUUAAUUUAUGUGUUCUUCUUAUUUUAUAGGAAAAUAUAAGUCAGGGAACUUAAGCAUUUAUAACACAAUAGAUGGAGAUAAAGAAAAAUUUCUCCUAUUUUACAUCCUUUGUCACAAAUGCUUUCCUUUUUCAAACAUAAAUUUUGGGAAGAAAAUAAUGCUCUCUGUGUCCACAUCUGUAUGUGUGUACAGGUAUUUUUAACACUUCCUGGACAUCAGAAUCUCUUGGGCCGGAUCUGAGAAAUGCUGACGUCAGCCAUCAUUACGGAGCAGCGACCAAAAAAUAUCACUUAAAUAUAUAAUCUACACUUAAGAUUUCAAGCAGAUUUAUGGAGUUGGCAAAAGGAAAUGGGAAAUGAGUUGGCUUCAGUGCAUUGUGAAUGUUCAAAACCCUGAGUCUUGUUUGGGGUGUUAAACUCAGGUACAACAUGGGUAAUUUGUUAAUGGUCA
This is a long non-coding RNA of Camelus dromedarius (Arabian camel), 3109 nucleotides long. RefSeq lists it as uncharacterized. The record is from RefSeq and is a predicted model, not a curated record. The transcript is spliced from 2 exons. NCBI's taxonomy places the organism in Eukaryota, Metazoa, Chordata, Mammalia, Artiodactyla, Camelidae.